This 507-nucleotide ribosomal RNA is filed under the name uncultured bacterium. RNAcentral describes it as "partial 16S ribosomal RNA". It matches the Rfam family "Bacterial small subunit ribosomal RNA", at positions 30 to 523 of the family's 1533-position model. The record is from RNAcentral.
AUUGAACGCUGGCGGCAUGCCUUACACAUGCAAGUCGAACGGCAGCGGGGGAGAAGCUUGCUUUUCCUGCCGGCGAGUGGCGAACGGGUGAGUAAUACAUCGGAACGUGCCCCGUAGUGGGGGAUAACUAGUCGAAAGAUUAGCUAAUACCGCAUACGACCUGAGGGUGAAAGUGGGGGACCGCAAGGCCGCAUGCUAUAGGAGCGGCCGAUGUCUGAUUAGCUAGUUGGUGGGGUAAAGGCCUACCAAGGCGACGAUCAGUAGCUGGUCUGAGAGGACGAUCAGCCACACUGGGACUGAGACACGGCCCAGACUCCUACGGGAGGCAGCAGUGGGGAAUUUGGACAAUGGGCGAAAGCCUGAUCCAGCAAUGCCGCGUGUGUGAAGAAGGCCUUCGGGUUGUAAAGCACUUUUGUCCGGAAAGAAAUGGCUCUGGUUAAUACCUGGGGUCGAUGACGGUACCGGAAGAAUAAGGACCGGCUAACUACGUGCCAGCCGCCGCCGUAA